UACGGGGGGGGUAAGCGUUGUUCGGAAUUACUGGGCGUAAAGGGCGCGUAGGCGGCCCUCUAAGUCAGACGUGAAAUCCCCCGGCUUAACCUGGGAACUGCGUCUGAUACUGGGAGGCUUGAAUGCGGGAGAGGGAUGUAGAAUUCCAGGUGUAGCGGUGAAAUGCGUAGAUAUCUGGAGGAAUACCGGUGGCGAAGGCGGCAUCCUGGACCGACAUUGACGCUGAGGCGCGAAAGCUAGGGUAGCAAACGGG
RNAcentral lists this ribosomal RNA (253 nucleotides) under uncultured bacterium. RNAcentral describes it as "partial 16S ribosomal RNA". It matches the Rfam family "Bacterial small subunit ribosomal RNA", at positions 524 to 776 of the family's 1533-position model. The record is from RNAcentral.